This 164-nucleotide non-coding RNA is filed under the name uncultured Selenomonas sp. RNAcentral describes it as "6S / SsrS RNA". It matches the Rfam family "6S / SsrS RNA". Rfam says of the family: E. coli 6S RNA was the first non coding RNA to be sequenced, but its function was unknown until recently. It consists of 184 nucleotides that fold into an extended hairpin structure with a large single-stranded internal bulge. The 6S RNA specifically associates with RNA polymerase holoenzyme containing the sigma70 specificity factor. Lineage: Bacteria; Bacillati; Bacillota; Negativicutes; Selenomonadales; Selenomonadaceae. The record is from RNAcentral.
AGCCUGGAAUGUGCGCGGGCUUUGUUAUGUCUAACCUACGUUUUUUAUAGGGAGCUUGAUUUGAUUCUGAUGGAGGUCCGCCUCGGCGAAUGCCAGAAGUCAGACUUAGGGCACCCACCUGCGAGCAGCAGGUUUUAGGCAUGAAAAGCGAACGGCAUUUUGGA